AUUGAACGCUGGCGGCAUGCCUUACACAUGCAAGUCGAACGGCAGCACGGGAGCAAUCCUGGUGGCGAGUGGCGAACGGGUGAGUAAAGUAUCGGAACGUGCCCAGUCGUGGGGGCUAACGUAGAGAAAGUUACGCCAAUACCGCAUACGAUCUAUGGAUGAAAGCGGGGGAUCGCCAGACCUCGCGCGAUUGGAGCGGCAGAUAUCAGAUUAGGUAGUUGGUGGGGUAAAGGCUCACCAAGCCGACGAUCGGUAGCUGGUCUGAGAGGACGACCAGCCACACUGGGACUGAGACACGGCCCAGACUCCGACGGGAGGCAGCAGUGGGGAAUUUUGGACAAUGGGCGAAAGCCUGAUCCAGCCAUGCCGCGUGCAGGAUGAAGGCCUUCGGGUUGUAAACUGCUUUUGUACGGAACGAAAAGGUUUGGCCUAAUAAGCUGAGCUCAUGACGGUACCGUAAGAAUAAGCACCGGCUAACUACGUGCCAGCCGCCGCGGUAA
Molecule: ribosomal RNA, 500 nt
Filed under: uncultured bacterium
Lineage: Bacteria
Description: partial 16S ribosomal RNA
Rfam family: Bacterial small subunit ribosomal RNA
Source: RNAcentral